RNAcentral lists this ribosomal RNA (1352 nucleotides) under uncultured bacterium. RNAcentral describes it as "bacterial SSU rRNA". It matches the Rfam family "Bacterial small subunit ribosomal RNA", at positions 28 to 1381 of the family's 1533-position model. The record is from RNAcentral.
AUUGAACGUUGGCGGCAUGCCUUACACAUGCAAGUCGAACGGCAGCACGGAGCUUGCUCUGGUGGCGAGUGGCGAACGGGUGAGUAAUAUAUCGGAACGUACCCUAGAGUGGGGGAUAACGUAGCGAAAGUUACGCUAAUACCGCAUACGAUCUAAGGAUGAAAGUGGGGGAUCGCAAGACCUCAUGCUCGUGGAGCGGCCGAUAUCUGAUUAGCUAGUUGGUAGGGUAAAAGCCUACCAAGGCAUCGAUCAGUAGCUGGUCUGAGAGGACGACCAGCCACACUGGAACUGAGACACGGUCCAGACUCCUACGGGAGGCAGCAGUGGGGAAUUUUGGACAAUGGGCGAAAGCCUGAUCCAGCAAUGCCGCGUGAGUGAAGAAGGCCUUCGGGUUGUAAAGCUCUUUUGUCAGGGAAGAAACGGUGGGAGCUAAUAUCUCUUGCUAAUGACGGUACCUGAAGAAUAAGCACCGGCUAACUACGUGCCAGCAGCCGCGGUAAUACGUAGGGUGCAAGCGUUAAUCGGAAUUACUGGGCGUAAAGCGUGCGCAGGCGGUUUUGUAAGUCUGAUGUGAAAUCCCCGGGCUCAACCUGGGAAUUGCAUUGGAGACUGCAAGGCUAGAAUCUGGCAGAGGGGGGUAGAAUUCCACGUGUAGCAGUGAAAUGCGUAGAUAUGUGGAGGAACACCGAUGGCGAAGGCAGCCCCCUGGGUCAAGAUUGACGCUCAUGCACGAAAGCGUGGGGAGCAAACAGGAUUAGAUACCCUGGUAGUCCACGCCCUAAACGAUGUCUACUAGUUGUCGGGUCUUAAUUGACUUGGUAACGCAGCUAACGCGUGAAGUAGACCGCCUGGGGAGUACGGUCGCAAGAUUAAAACUCAAAGGAAUUGACGGGGACCCGCACAAGCGGUGGAUGAUGUGGAUUAAUUCGAUGCAACGCGAAAAACCUUACCUACCCUUGACAUGGCUGGAAUCCUUGAGAGAUCAGGGAGUGCUCGAAAGAGAACCAGUACACAGGUGCUGCAUGGCUGUCGUCAGCUCGUGUCGUGAGAUGUUGGGUUAAGUCCCGCAACGAGCGCAACCCUUGUCAUUAGUUGCUACGAAAGGGCACCCUAAUGAGACUGCCGGUGACAAACCGGAGGAAGGUGGGGAUGACGUCAAGUCCUCAUGGCCCUUAUGGGUAGGGCUUCACACGUCAUACAAUGGUACAUACAGAGCGCCGCCAACCCGCGAGGGGGAGCUAAUCGCAGAAAGUGUAUCGUAGUCCGGAUUGUAGUCUGCAACUCGACUGCAUGAAGUUGGAAUCGCUAGUAAUCGCGGAUCAGCAUGUCGCGGUGAAUACGUUCCCGGGUCU